This 58-nucleotide microRNA precursor is filed under the name Euprymna scolopes. Its description in RNAcentral is "Esc-Mir-12501_pre stem-loop". Lineage: Eukaryota; Metazoa; Mollusca; Cephalopoda; Sepiida; Sepiolidae. The record is from RNAcentral.
CAGGGUAGAUAUAGGGCCCGUGUAGAUUUGAAUCCGUCGGUCAUAUGUCUGCCUGAUU